AGUUUAAGAGGCUACAGCAGGGAGGGAGCGGGGGAGGGGGCGGCAACGGUGGGGGCGCCCAGACCCUGCGGGGGAAGUGAGUCACCCAGAAAACGCAGCAUCGGCGGCUGGCCGUUAACCCGCUCCCGGCCAGGGAGGAGAUGUGGGCUUGGCCGGCCACGCCCUCCCUGCUGGACCAAGCCCGUCCCUGCCGCCCACCACCCCGACUUCACUUCUCACCUCUUAGCGUCAGGAGCCACCUCGCCUCGCACUCGAAGGCACUCUCCAGGUUUGAGAUUCAGGUUGCUGGCGACCAGACCCUGCACAGACAAGCCCCGGCCCAGCCGGGUUAGAGGACAAGGCCUCCACUGCUCGAAGUGUCCGGGGGUGGCUGGGGGUGGGAGUGGGGUUGUUCCCGCCCGGCAUCCUCUGACCAAGCCAAGGGGAAGCCUGGGGAAAGGAUUGAGCUGUAAUUUCCAGCCUCCGAUUGUCUAUGUGGUCCUGGGAAAGUCCCUAUUCCCACCGGGGUUGGCUUCAGUCUGUAACGUGAAGGUUCUAGAAGACAGGCUCUAGAAGAUUUUGCAGAUUGGCUUGGGAAUUUUGGACUCAAGAGUGACUUGGGAGAUGGGGUGCUCUGUCCCAUCGCAGAUGGAGAGGAUCAGGCUGGGGAGGGGCCGACACUUGGCCCACCGUCACACUGAAUGGAGGGGCCGGCCCCUCUGCUGGAGAGGAAGUGGCUAGGGGCGGGCGACCCCACUAUUCUCCUUCAAGCCCCUCUCUGCAAAGAGGCCCAGGGGCUAGAGAGGAGACCCUGAAAAACACGGCCUCUCUGCAUUAGGGAGAAUAGCCCUGCAGUCGGGCUGUGGCUGGGCUGGCUCAGGGUUAACAAGAUUGAGCAAACUGCUGGGCACUGCUGUUCCCUGGCACCCCGAGUGGGUGGGCAAGAGUUAACUGGUUUGAGUGGUUUCUUCUGCCAGAAACUUGAACCCUUUCCCUGGGGCCCGAGGAAGAUUCUCACCUCCCUGCCACCCCAACCUCCCAGCUUGGGGGUGGUGGAAGGGAAUUUCCCCCGCCCCCCCCGCCACCAGCCUGGACACAACCACCCUCCACCCCCGACCUAGAAGGGCCCAUCCUGGGCAGCUUGUCUCGGGUCCUGGCAACUUUUCAGCGUUCUCUGGAGCAGAGGGUAACUCUGCCCUGGCCUGGUGACCGGGACAGCUGCAGGGGGGAGGGGACAGGAGGCUCUUUGGGGUGGAGGAGGGGGAAAGGGAUAGUGGCCUGGGUGUCCCCCAGUUGGCCACACCCUUCCCACGCUCACUUCUCAGAGAGCUGCAGAAUGUCAACCCUGGGCAGAAAUAACUGUGCUUUCAGACCCUGGAGGAAUCCAGACAAUUAUCAAUGCAGAGAAGGCCUUGAGGGACCAUGGCGCCCACCCCCAUUUUACAGAUGUGGCCACUGAGGUCCAGAAAAGAGAAGGCACUGGUUCCAGGCCACACAGCUGGGGCUAGAAUCUGCUCCCGAUCUGCCCAGCUCUCCUCUGGCCAUCAGUUCCUGCCCUAUCCCCUGGACCUUGGGGGGGGGUCCCCACACUCACACAAGCCAUGAUUGAGUCCAGGAGGAUGUUCCCGGGCAGGCGCACCAGCUGUCAGAAGACUCCACCCGAGAGAGAUGGGCCCCCGGACGCUCCCACCCUUUUAACUGGACCGGACCGGGUGAGCCCCGCCCCCUGAAAGUUCAGCCAAUUGCAAGUCAGGAUAGGGCUGGGGGCCACUGGGGGCGGAGUCCGUGGAAUUUUGAAGCCAGUUUUGGAGCAGAGGUGACCAAUCAGAGUGGCGAGCUGCUGCCCCCCCUCACCCCGCCGCCCCCGGCCAGAGUCCAAGCUCCACCUCCUAUUCUCCUUCAUCCCUCUCCACCUCCCCACCAAAAUUGUGCUGUGGCAGAGAUUGGGGGAAGCCAGUGGAAAAUAGUUUGAUGAUGAGCUAGGCCCACAAGUUGGCGGGAAGGGGCCUGUGGCCAGCAGGCUGGGCUCAGGGGGUGCCCAGAGAAGAUGGCUGAGGAGGUGCAGGGUCCUUCAGGGAAUCAGAGCUGGGGGAGACCAGGCCACUCCCGGGCAGGGACCAGGGCGUGGCUCCUGCUGCGUGCGCGUCUGCAGAGGGCCACUGACUUAACCACAGGCCCUGGCCCCACCCGGGCCUUCCCCGGAAGCAAGGACUGCGGCUGCUGCAGCGCUCUCUCGCUGGCUCCUCGGGAAGGCUAAAGAAAGGCUGGGCCGGGCGCCAAGCCUGAGGCUGCAGGGCUUGGCUAAGGCCUCGGGCUUGGCCGCGUUCAGGGGCAGGCAGGGGAUAGUCAAAGCGCCCUGGCCUGACAGCCUCAGGCCUGAGAGUGUCAAGCUUAGGAGAUGGCCCAGGGUGGUCCAGACCAGGAGGGGGUGGGGUCCUGGCUCUGUGCACCCUGUCCUUUCUCUUUUUUAUUUUUAUUUAUUUAUAUAUUUAUUUUUGAGAUGGAGUCUCGCUCUGUCGCCCAGGCUGGAGUGCAGUGGCGUGAUCUCAGCUCACUGCAACCUCUGCCUCCCAGGUUCAACUGAUUCUCCUGCCUCAGCCUCCCGAGUAGCUGGGACUACAGGCCCCCACCACCACACCCGGCUAAUUUAUGUACUUUUAGUAGAGACGGGGUUUCACCACGUUGGCCAGGCUGGUCUCAAACUCCUGACCUCAGUUGAUCCACCCGCCUCAGCCUCCCAAAGUAAUGGGAUUACAGGUGUGAGCCACCAUGCCUGGCCACCCUGUCUGCUCUCUUAACAUCUCCUCUGAGGCCCGGCACAGCCCUCCCUUCCCUGAGUGUUCAGCAGGUAUUUUACUGAGCACCUACUAUGUACCUGGCCCUGGGCUCUGAGGAUUCAAAGCUGAACCCCUCCCAGUCCCCACUCUCAAGGAGCGCAUAGUUGGGGUGGAAUCUGACCACAACCACGUUAAGAAGUAGAUGAUGGGCUGGGCGCAGUGGCUCACGCCGGUAAUCCCAGCUCUUUAGGAAGCCGAGGCGGGCGGAUCACCUAAGGUUAGGAGUUCGAGACUAGCCUGACCAACACGGAGAAACCCCAUCUCUACUAAAAAUACAAAAUUAGCUGGGCAUGGUGGCAUAUGCCUGUAAUCCCUGCUACUCCUGAGGCUGAGGCAGGAGAAUCGCUUGAACCCAGGAGGCAGAGGUUGCAGUGAUCCGAGAUCAGUCUAUUGCACUCCAGCCUGGGCAAUAAGAGUGAAACUCAGUCUCAAUUAAAAAAAAUAAAAAAUAAAAAUAAAAAUAAAAAGAAGUAGAUGAUGAUGGCUGUAAGGGAAGCCAUGAGAAAGUGCUAUGGUGGGCUGGCGGCUGCAUGAGUAAAGGAGGUGGGUCGUGAAGGGUAGGCGGAGAAGUGCCUGGCUUUCCACCAUGGGCAGAAGCUCCAGAAUGAGAAGGCCAGGGCUGGAGAACAGUGUUCCGGGCAUGUGGGGGAAAAACGGGGAUGAGGCUGGGAAGCCAACAGGACCUGGACCAUGGAGGGCCUCAUGGGCUGGGCACAGGGCUUGGACAUUGUUGUAUGGGAGGAGGCUGGGGAGCCAGGGCUAGAGGGAGGGUGAGUACUGAGGCCAGAUUUGGGCUCUAGGGAAGAUCACUGUGGCAGAGAAUUGAGGGUGGGUGGGAGGGGUGCUCACCUUACACUCAGGAACCUGGUGGAGGAAGGGGCGUGGGGAGCACUGGGCAAAAUGAGGGGCAUGCUGGGGGGUUGUCACGGGGACCUCCUUCUCCACCUGGCCGUCCCCCUUCUGAAACUGCUGGCACCAAAGAGGGACGAAGAUGCGGACCAGGAGUGACUCACAUCUGGAAGCCAGGCCAACACACCCACCCUGCCUCUCAGGGGCACCUUCCUCCAGAUGCCCAAAGCCCACUCUGGUACAGGAUGAGAGGGGAGUGUGUAGGGCCGCAAGGCGGACCCAGAGAGGGGAUGGGGUUGCACCCCUGUGAGU
This 3977-nucleotide long non-coding RNA is filed under the name Homo sapiens (human). RNAcentral's name for it is "non-protein coding lnc-LGALS2-5:1". The record is from RNAcentral. Lineage: Eukaryota; Metazoa; Chordata; Mammalia; Primates; Hominidae.